GCUUACGGCCCACACCUCCCUGAGCACGGCCCGAUCUCGUCUGAUCUCGGAAGCUAAGCAGGGUCGGGCCCGGUUAGUACUUGGAUGGGAGACCGCCUGGGAAUACCAGGUGCUGUAAGCC
Molecule: ribosomal RNA, 121 nt
Filed under: Esox lucius (northern pike)
Lineage: Eukaryota; Metazoa; Chordata; Actinopteri; Esociformes; Esocidae
Source: RNAcentral